This 2886-nucleotide long non-coding RNA is filed under the name Sus scrofa (pig). RNAcentral's name for it is "lncRNA (ENSSSCG00040073331.1)". Lineage: Eukaryota; Metazoa; Chordata; Mammalia; Artiodactyla; Suidae. The record is from RNAcentral.
UGGAUUCUAAAUCUUCUGGCUGGGGAAUGUAGACAUUGGCUUAUGGUUGAUGGUGUAGACUGGUGAGAAUUCAAAUUUUUCUAAACUCAUGGUAAGCAUAUUGUAAAAUACAUAUGUACUAGGAAUUUUCAAAAUUGGUUUGUUUGGUGUGGAGUAUAUUCAACAGUAUUUUUGACAUUUUUCUUUAGAAAAGGAAGAUCUAAAGGAAUUUCAUAAGUUUUGUUACAUAAAGGAUUGAAAUAUUGUGAAUUUGAAAGUGCACUGCUGUUGGCCUGAUUGGUAAACCAACACACUACAAUUGAUAUCAAAAGGUUUCUCCUGUAAUAUUUUAUCCCUGGACUUGUCAAGUGAAUUCUUUGCAUGUUCAAAAUGGAAACCAUUGAUUAGAACUACAUUCUUUUCUCCUUGUUUUAAUUUGAACCCCACCAUAUGGAUUUUUCCCUUAGGAAAAUCUCCUUUUUGGAGAUCAUGGUGUCACAGUGUUUGGUUCUUUCAUUUUUGUUUUUUAACACUUGUCUCCCUUUAUAUACAAAAGUACGAUAUGAAACCUUCAUUUAAUCUCUGCAGUUCAUCUCAUUUCAAAUGUUUAUGGAAGAAGCACUUCAUUGAAAGUACUGCUGUAAAUAUUCUGCCAUAGGAAUGCUUCUGUCGACAUUCUUUCUCAUUCCAGAAUUCGUCAUCACGCUGCACCGGCCUCGUCUUUGUUGGUAGGUGUCCCAUUUCUAUCUGCUACUCUUUAUUUCGUGGAGUCGAAUCAACACUUUGAAGGCGAGGCUGUGAUAAUGGAACCAGAAGGCUGUUUGAACUUUUGAAACCUUGUGUGGGAUUGAUGGUGGUGCCGAGGCAUGAAAAGCUAGUAUAAGCAAGAAAAGGAGAGAGAAUGUACAGAGACUUGGUGGUGCAUAAUGGAUAUUUUUCAACUUGGCAAGAUGUGUCUCUCAAUCCUGCGGCUUUGGUGAGAGAAUGUGCAGAGAGCAAUGAUCAUAAAUAAUGUACGAAUGUUCUUCACAUUCAAAGGACAUCCACAUCUGUCGGAAGACUUAAAACAUCAGCCACACCUUAGACUCCAUGACCACGACGUUUGUGUACAAUGGUUGCAAUGGAUCCCUCCAGAAGGCUCCAUCCCCCAUCACUACUGGUUGAAGGCGUCUUCACAUCUUGACACACUAUUGCAAUUACAGGUGAGAUAAGACACAAGCGGCAUUGGAUUGAGAAUCAGCAAGGACCAGCAAUUUCUCAGAAAACACAACCGGAUCCUGUAGAGUCUUUAGAUGUUUUUCAAGAGGAAACAAAACAUCGCACAGCAGAUUAAAUGCUAUUGUGGUUGCAACCAGAUACUUCGAGUGCUCAAAGAUAUACACCAAGGAACUCAUCUAAGUGAAAAUAGAUGGGAUUUAGAGACAGAUUCAAGAUUUGCUACGAGAAAUUAGAUUUACUGCAAAGUAAAGCAAUUAACCUAUGACUUUGCCUGUAGGAAAUGAAGCACCGAUAACUGGCGUGGUAAGCAGAGUAAUAACCUUCCAAACAUAUCCAUGGCCCCAUUCCCAGAACCUGUGAAUAUGUUAUCUUACACGGCAAAAACCAAACCAAACCAAACCAAACCAAACCAAACAAAACCAACGCCCCCCUCAACUUUGCAGAUGUAAUAUUAAGGAUUUUGAGAUGGAAAAUUUAUCUUGAGUUAUCUAAGUGGGCCCAAACUAAUCACAUAGGUUUUUUUAAAAAAUGAAUUCAUUAGGUCAAUUUCUGUUUUUAUCUAUUUAUUUUUUUUGAAGUAAAGUUUGCCUACAAUAUUAGUUUCAGGUGUACAAUAUAGUUGCUCAGAAUUUUUAUGGAUUAUACUCCAUUUAAAUUUAUUAUAAAACAUUGGCUGUAUUCCCUGUGUUGUACAAUAUAUCCUUGUAUCUUAUUUAUUUUCUACAUAGUAGUUUGUGGCGCUUAAUUUCUUACCCUAUCUGGCCCCUCCCCCUGUCCCAGUCUCCACUGGUAACCCCUAGUUUGUUCUUUAUUUCUGUUUAACAUUAUAUUCAUUUGUUUUACAUUUUAAUUUCCACAUAGAAGUGAUAACAUAUAGUACUUGUCUUUAUCUUAUUCCACUAAGCAUAAUACCCUCCAGGUCUGCCCAUGUUGUUGCAAAUAGCAAAAUUUUGUUCUUUUUUAUGGCUGAGUAUUAUUUCAUUGUGUGUAUGAGAGAAAGAGAGAGAGAGAGAGAGAGUGUGUGUGUGUGUGUGUGUGUAUCUUCUUUAUCUAUUCAUCUGGAGAUGGACACUUGGUGGCUUCCUUAUCUUGGCGAUUGUAAAAAAUGCUUCUAUGAACAUUUGAUGUAUGUAUAUUUUCAAAGCAAGUUUUUGUUUUCUUCAUAUAUAUACUGAGGAGAGGAAUUUCUGGAUCAUAUGGUAGUUCUGUUUUCAGUUUUUUUGAGGAACUUCCAUACUGAUUUCCAUAGUGGAUGCCAUCAUACAGGUUUUUAAAAGCAGAGACUCUUUCCUAGCUCUGAUCAAAGCAAGAGAGAUAAGGCUACAGAAGAGUAGUUAGAGAGGCUGCAUUGACAUGGGUCAUGAAAGACGGGUGGCCUCUAGGAGCUGGAAGAGGCAAGGGCGUGGGUUUAUCCCUAGAUCCUCUAGGAAGAAAUGCAGUCCUGCAGACACCUUGAUUUUGUCUUCGUGAAACCCUGAUUGGAUUUGUAAUCUAGGAAAUUCAAGAUAAUACAUUUGUGUUGCUUUAAACCUAAAUUUAUGAUGAUUUUUCUGCGGUAGAAAAUGAGGAGUUCCCUUCAUGGUUAACGAACCUGACUGGUGUUGAUGAGGAUGCAAAUUUGACCCCAGGCCUUUCUCAGUGGGGUAAGGAUCUGACGCUGAUGUGAACUGUGGUGUAGGUUGCAGACAC